RNAcentral lists this small RNA (51 nucleotides) under Arabidopsis thaliana (thale cress). RNAcentral's name for it is "ATSL221710". The record is from RNAcentral. Lineage: Eukaryota; Viridiplantae; Streptophyta; Magnoliopsida; Brassicales; Brassicaceae.
AACAAAAAACCAACAAAAAAACACUCUCUUUGUUUGCAAGUCUACUUCGUU